Molecule: long non-coding RNA, 810 nt
Filed under: Solanum lycopersicum (tomato)
Lineage: Eukaryota; Viridiplantae; Streptophyta; Magnoliopsida; Solanales; Solanaceae
Description: long non-coding RNA (SLYC_LNC000165)
Source: RNAcentral
UUCCUAUUCCUUUUCAUCCAUUCUCUAUUCCAAGAAAAAUUGCUCUGCAAGAUGGAAGGGUUUUGCAAGCCCUCAUAUGAAAUUUUUCAGUUAAAUUGCAUACCUAGCUUCUCCCCUCCCUUCUCAUUUUUGUUUUGCCUUUUGAUUUUAGAUCUGUUUUGUCAAUUUUUUUCAUUCGACGAGUUUCAAAUUUUCUUUAUAUAUCAGUUUUGUUGUUUAUGAUGUGGUAACUUUGCAUGCAUUAAAUCUAAAUUUGAUUAGAUGUUGUUGUUAUGGUCGUUUACUCCUCUUCUUCUCCGAUUUCCUUAAUUGUAGCUUUCUUUUUCAACUUUUUCUCCUUUUGUUCUUGAUGUGGGUGUUUUUUCAAUUUGUUAUUUUUUCACAAAUAGGACUUUACAGGUACUUGGAGAAGAAACGAAAGGAAAGAAGCAGGGAACAUUGAGCAUUAUCAAGUACAACGAACUUAAAUCUUGAUUUUUUUUCUCGAAAAGACUUUCAACUGGAAGGAUUAGCUAUUAGAGUUACCCUAAUUUUACAACCCUUUCUCCUAUGUGGAAAGUCCAGUAUUUCUCCCACUUUAGUUGAUUUAACUUUCCAGUUGGAUAUGCAGUUAAAUUAUAAUGUUGAAUACUAACAUAUGUAUAUGUCAUAAGCAUAAACUUUAAUUUGCUUAUAUGACAAGGAAGACUUUCUUUGCACAUGAAGAAUUCUUUGUAAGAUAAGUUAUUUAUUUUUCAUAGGGUGCAAACAAUCUCAUAGGGUGCAAACAAUCUCAAUUUUUAACACAUCUUAUUCAUUUAUCUAAAAGCU